CGAACGGAAAGGCCCUGCUUGCAGGGUACUCGAGUGGCGAACGGGUGAGUAACACGUGGGUGAUCUGCCCUGCACUUCGGGAUAAGCCUGGGAAACUGGGUCUAAUACCGGAUAGGAGCCAUUUUUAGUGUGAUGGUUGGAAAGUUUUUUCGGUGUAGGAUGAGCUCGCGGCCUAUCAGCUUGUUGGUGGGGUAAUGGCCUACCAAGGCGGCGACGGGUAGCCGGCCUGAGAGGGUGGACGGCCACAUUGGGACUGAGAUACGGCCCAGACUCCUACGGGAGGCAGCAGUGGGGAAUAUUGCACAAUGGGCGCAAGCCUGAUGCAGCGACGCCGCGUGGGGGAUGACGGCCUUCGGGUUGUAAACUCCUUUCGCUAGGGACGAAGCUUUUUGUGACGGUACCUAGAUAAGAAGCACCGGCUAACUACGUGCCAGCAGCCGCGGUAAUACGUAGGGUGCGAGCGUUGUCCGGAAUUACUGGGCGUAAAGGGCUCGUAGGUGGUUUGUCGCGUCGUCUGUGAAAUUCCGGGGCUUAACUCCGGGCGUGCAGGCGAUACGGGCAUAACUUGAGUACUGUAGGGGUAACUGGAAUUCCUGGUGUAGCGGUGAAAUGCGCAGAUAUCAGGAGGACACCGAUGGCGAAGGCAGGUUACUGGGCAGUUACUGACGCUGAGGAGCGAAAGCAUGGGUAGCGAACAGGA
RNAcentral lists this ribosomal RNA (700 nucleotides) under uncultured Actinomycetales bacterium. Its description in RNAcentral is "bacterial SSU rRNA". It matches the Rfam family "Bacterial small subunit ribosomal RNA", at positions 63 to 777 of the family's 1533-position model. The record is from RNAcentral. Lineage: Bacteria; Bacillati; Actinomycetota; Actinomycetes; Actinomycetales.